This 259-nucleotide ribosomal RNA is filed under the name uncultured prokaryote. RNAcentral's name for it is "partial 16S ribosomal RNA". It matches the Rfam family "Bacterial small subunit ribosomal RNA", at positions 524 to 782 of the family's 1533-position model. The record is from RNAcentral.
UACGGAGGAUCCAAGCGUUAUCCGGAUUUAUUGGGUUUAAAGGGUGCGCAGGCGGAAGAUUAAGUCGGCGGUGAAAUUUUGCAGCUCAACUGUAAAAGCGCCAUCGAUACUGGUUUUCUUGAGUGUGGAUGAAGUAGGCGGAAUUUGUGGUGUAGCGGUGAAAUGCAUAGAUAUCACGAGGAACUCCGAUUGCGCAGGCAGCUUACUAGGCCAUAACUGACGCUCAGGCACGAAGGCGUGGGGAUCAAACAGGAUUAGA